CUCUGUCUUACAUGGGGGCUUGUCUCUUCUGAUAAACUAAGCAUGUUCGGUAUUGACUUCAAGUACAAACUGACAUACAUUUUGGAUUAACAGGAAAUAACCAGCAGUUUGGCAUCAAUAGCUUAUUUCAACAGGUGAUCAUUCUGCCAAUUAAUUUUUUGUGUGCCACGAAACAAAUUUCCCACUCCCAAAUAGUUUGCCUUGUGGCAGAUUUUAAAACCCACCCAUGAGAAUGUCUAUAUGCAUUAUUUUUGAUUUGGAUUCGUUAAUAUUGAAUCCGGCCACUUUGCCUAAUUGUGUAGUUCUUUCAUUAAUACAUGUAUUGGAUCUUUUGGAUUCAAAAGCAUAAUUACUACAUCGUCUGCAAAGAGACUUAUUUUAUGCAUUUCCUUUUUUAUUUCUGUUCCUUUUAUGUACAGAUUAUUUUUAAAUGAAGAUGGCUAAUGGUUCAAUUGAGAGGGCAAACAGGACAGGCAACGGGGGGCAUCCCUGUCAUACCCCCCCCCUUGGAAUAGAGAAAUCUUUGGAAUCUAUACCAUUCAUCCUGACUUAAGCAUAUAACUCCUUGAAAUACAAAUGUCUUCCAGAUAGAUUGCCCAUAAAGUUAUAUAUGUUUCCAUAUUGGAUAUUAGGGCUCGUUACACUGAUCAACACAACUGAUUAUUUAAAUAUGUAUUUAGUAGAUACAUAUGUGAUUAACCCACUACCACACACCUGAUUCAAACAUAAUCAGGUUACUUGGAGGCAGAUAAUGGAGUAUUCCUUUAAAAAGAUAACUAUCACCUUAUCAGUUACUUUCUUAGCUAGACCUCCCACAUGCCAAUAAAUUAACCUACAAUGAAGGUCUGGAGUAAUUCUCCAGAGGAUAUAUAGUUAUCCUCCUUGGCUAUUAUAGUAUCAUCCAUGUCAAGGCAACACACAUUUGAAUUCCUGAUUUGGUAUAAUGGUAGUAGUUUGUGGUUGAUAAUUAAGACCAAUUUCGUCCAUCUCUUUAAAAUCUCCUCUCCACUCAAGAAGGGGUAGAGCACCCUUGGUUGUCCUUUGGGGGUAAAAGUACAGAUAAGAGCAAAAGUGGAGCUUAAGUAUAUAAACUGUUGGUCCCAGAUAUGUAUUGCUUUAAACCCUAGGUGCAUGAAAAGAGUAACUCACACCAAUUCUCCCAUCUCCAGAACUCGCUUUCCUGUGGGUGGGACUCAUUCUAAAAUAGAGAUGAGAGGAACAGACAGGAGGCAGAAAAACCCAGACCUACCUCUGUAAUUCUUCAGUGUUAGCUGACGUUUGGGCAGGGGGCGGGGGAGGCAGGCAAGACGUUUCUUUUCUCCAGACUUUGGUGCAAAGUGGCAGCUCUCUCAUAGCCUAUCGCUUAAAACUGAUGAAUGAUUUUGGCUCUGUGGAGAAUAAAAACAAUAUUAAAGUGGUCCUUGCCACCCAAUAAAAUAGAUAACUGUUGAGGCAGCAGCUGUAUUAAAACCAGAGGCGUAGGCACUAAUCACAUAAAAAGGGAAAAGAAAACAAACUCAGUUAAAACUGAGGAGCUCAGCCAAAAACAUCCUUGCCACCAUCCUAACCAGAAGUCAACAGGUGAUAUGCAACAGGUUACUGCAGUGCUGGAAAAAAAGAUGUAUACAACUGGCACUGAGCCUCCAGUGAAACGGGCACCAGAAGUAGUUAAGAACAUUCCUGGGUGGGUGGGGAGGAUGGAAGCCUGGAAGGAAGUAUUGGGUAUAGCAGAAAGUAGAGACUGAUUCACCAACCUUAAAACAGCAAAACAAUUUGUGAACCCCACUGAAGUACACCAAUAGGAAUCCUGUACUGCCCCUAUUGCCCAACUUCCAGAACAUGUACUCAGAAAACUGGGUCUUCCCAAUAGGACGCCUGGUGCAGACUAAUGAUUUCCUAAAAAUCACUGCAACCCCCCUUCCCCACCCACAUGACCUGGGUUGCUGUGCGUAAGAGAUCUGCUUCAUUCAACCAGGUCUCUGUCACACAUGCCAGGUCAAAUCCUUGAUCCACAAUCAGGUCGUGGAUGGCAGUGGUUUUAUUCAUCAUUGACCUGGCAUUGCACAGCAACACUUUCAGGUCAUCUGGGUUUCCCUUGCUGAUUCCAGUAUCCUUCCGGUCAGGACCAAACCUGGAGGCAGGGAUAGUCCUCAAACAACGACUAAGCCUGCCUCCUCGGUAAUGACAUGGUCUGGUCUUAGCAUAACUCCUCCUCCUGCCCGUGAUCACUGAGAUCGGGUCUCCCAAUACAUCCCCCUCUGUGGAACCUGCCCCAGCCAUUCUAUUGGCUGAGGCCCACUCCCAGGCAGCCCUGACCCUUCCCCUUAAAAUGCAAAAUACAAACUAUAUAGUAACUUAACAGAAUAACAAAAAUAAAAACAAAGCAAGAAACAAUAGUGCUCAAAUUAAACUACUCCCCACCCUGUCUAAAUACUUAUCCCACCCCAAGCAGAAAUAAAAUAAUAAAAUAAAAUAAUAUUAUACGAAACAACCACCACCAUUUAAGGUGCAGCAAAUUAAAAGCACUUAAAACAUUUUAAACCAUGUUUGUCCCUUGCUGCAGGCCUCUAAGCUGUAGUGAUGAGUGCAGGCCCCGCCCCCAGGCCAGAUGGAGUUGGCAGGAGAGGGAGCGGUCUUCCCAGCACUCACGCGAGCAGCAGCAGCAAUGUCCCGGAGGCCUGGGUUUGCAGUUGAUACAAUUAAAUUUGGUGGUGGUUGAGGGUUAUAUCAUGCAUGCUGGCAUGUGCACAGAGUGCAGUCAGCCCGAGAAGUAUGUAAUUGAACUCGGGACACUGUUCAUAGAAGAAAUAUGCCGGACAGCUCAGUAAGGUCAGCAAGGACAGUAUAUUUUACUGACUGGUAGUAGAAUAACUAUGUUCAAGUAGAAAGUGAUUCUGCCUGUGCCUGCCUUUCAUUCCACAAAGAAACAAAGGUCUUUCCAGCAAAGAAAGUAGAGAUCCAACAGAGAUUCAUCACAAGAAGCCUAUCAUCACCUGAACCCUAUCAGCUUGUUACAAACACAUGGCUAAUUAUACUCUGACUUUUGCCUCUGAUUCACACCUCCCAUUAAUCAGCCAUGACUUGGCUUUUUCUUGGCAAGCAUAAAGUUACAAACCCCAAAAUAGGGACUAUGCAAAUGUAAUGGGAAUGCAAAUGGUGGCUAAUACUCAGUAAACUCUGAUGUGGGUGGGUCCCUAGGAAAAAACCAAAAAAUAAUAAUCUUUUUUUCCCCUUCCAACUCUGAAGACAGUGGAAGGUUGGGGUCACCAUAAAGAGGUUCCACAUUCAAAAUAUAGACAGUAGCAAUUCAUGAUGGAGGCAGGAAGCCUGAAGAUCCUUAAAAUGUUAGAGGAUUAAACAAUUUAGAUUGAAGGACAAAAACAAAUAAUGGAAUGAAGCAUAUGUAGGGUGAAGGGAAAGAAGAAUCCUUUCUUUCAUUAUUCCCUAUGAAAUUGACAAUGAUCAGAAUCUGUAUUAAUAUGCAAUGAGUACUUUUACUAAAUCCACACAGGCCCAGUUAAUACGAAACUGAUAGUGAAUUUGAAAUGAAUUCUGAACUGUAGGAACAGAUAUUUGAAUAACAAAAUAAUGUAGGACUGAGAAUUAUCUUUACAAGCCACAUUUUCACAAUAAUGAAUAAACUUGGGGUUUGAAAUUGUUUUUCAGAAAGUAUUUUUAACAAUAUUGGAACACAACACAAUGAUGGACUUUUCAGUUUUGCAGUCUGUGUACACAUCAGUAAUGCACACUAAAUAAAACAAGAGACUUUAGUUGUCUGGACAAUAUUCUUUUUAAAGUUACAGUGGUCAGUUUAAAGGGACAAUGUCUAUUGCCUUUCUUUACCUAAUAUGUAAACAUUAUGAACUUGAUUUCACUUCUUUACUUAGAUGGGUACAAGAGCACUUGUGCAAUUAUGGCAGACAAGAAAACAGUAUUUCUUUUACAAAUCCUGAACUUUGUAAUAAUUCUAUCAAUAUUGUUUGUCGCAACAACCUGAAAUUUGAUCCAAAGAAUCGAUGUGUUGAUAUAAUGGCCAAAUACCAGAAAGAUCCAAUGAAAAUGGGUAAAAUGCAAAGGAUUUUUGAAAAGUCAAUUUGAGGGACAAGUUUCAUCUGUUUGCAGUUGCUUUUUGCACACCCAAUCAUUUUAUCUACCUUCUGCCCAUUUUCAAAGUGCAGGGCUUUAGCACACUCUGCAAUGUGAGAAAGCCCUAAUCCUAAUAUUUGGGCAUAUCAGUGAAGCAUACAAACAGGCCAUUAAACCUUGUUUAUUCCAUUCAGCUGCAUGAAGAAGCUGACCCCCUUUUGCUCCUCAUGCAAUGACACAGACUGCACACUGAAGUAAGUUUAAAAAUGUUUUACUUACUUAUUUGAGGUCCCAGUAGUGCAUUGUCCUAUGCAGCAACAAUAAGAAAUGCAGGUAAAAUUAUUGUUAGGUGUAAUACGGCAAGGUCGCUUCAGACACAGGUCUAGAGCUGGGUGCUAUUGAGCAGCACAUCCUCCCUCUAUGGCUACAUAAUGAAAGGAAAAUAAGAAAUGCAUGACUUCUUCCCUGAUGUGGCAUGACCUAACUGAGCCUACUCAACCCCCCUCCCCCCUCCCCCCUCCCCCCAGUGUCUCAACAAAUGAAACUGAUUUGUAAAAAUGUUACAUGGAAAAAAUACGAGAGAUAUUACACAUACUUCUGUAAAACAAGAAAAUCUUUAAUAAAAAGGGGGGGGAGAAAAGAACUGAGCCUACUCAAGCAGUUUAGAACUCUGAUCAUUAAUCUCUUCAUAUACUAACUAGCAAUCGUGCAGAUACAUUUGAUUGUAAAAUCUGAUAAAGGAGGACUUGCUCUCUGUCCUGAGAAAUUCAGAAGCUCCUUUAGCUGGGACACAGGGCAGGACCUUAUCUGUUACAGUGUCCAGUUUAUGGAACUUUCCCCCUUGGAACACUAAAUUGGUAUAUUCCUUCAUCAGGUGAAUUGAAUCUUGGUAGAAAUGCAUGAAGAAUUGGUCAUUUAUAUACACUUAGCUAAAGCCCCACCUUUUAGCUAAAGGACACCUAGAUUGCUAUUGGUGUGUGUUUUCUCUCUUUUGCAGGCUGUCUGCUGAUGAUCUAUGGAAUAAUCUGGAAGGUUUGCCUGGCAUCUGCAUAAAACUAUGCUAAUGCUACCUACCCACUUUCAUCCAAAAUGCCAGUAGCAAAUACUCCGAUCAAAACCUCUUGGAAACCCUUAACAUGUAUGUGCAGUCUUGUCUGAGGAAGAAAUUUCAUCUUCACUUCAAGACCAAUUUUAGGAGAAGAACUGGCAGCUUCUCUAGUAACAAUUUUUGUUUCAUUGCCCACAUUUAACUAUUAGGCUACUGAUCACAAUGAAACAGAGAGCAGGAAC
Non-coding RNA from Podarcis lilfordi (Lilford's wall lizard), 5376 nucleotides. NCBI's taxonomy places the organism in Eukaryota, Metazoa, Chordata, Lepidosauria, Squamata, Lacertidae. The record is from the annotation of a GenBank genome assembly.